CUUCCUCCAACAGGAGCUGGAGGUGUCCAUUUGUGGAGUCUUCUCACCCCUGGAAGUCAGAAGGGGCCAGAUGCACGUUCCUGGGCCCGGGAGGGCCUCCAGCCUCCCACAAGUCUCUCCGAAGUCCAGAGAGGCCACAGACUUGGCGCAGGGAAGCCGAGAACUGUACCAGCACACUCGAGGGAAGGGCGUGAAGGUGUUGUGUAACUGGCAUUGGCUGAGACGAGACCAACCUCCUGUUUCCGGACUCUUAUGAACUUAAAUCACGGCUUGAAACUCUCCACGACCCCAGUCAGCCCCUGUGCCUCAACUAUUUUCGAUCAGGCAAGUGAGGUGUGAGUCAAAACAAAGGAAACUGGUCUACAGUGUGCUUUGGGCGCAGCUGGUGUCAUGGUUGUGAUGGAAUUCAAGUUGACACUACCUAUUCCCCAUCAGAAAACGGCAUUUGCUGGCAAAGUUGAUCCCCAGACUCUGGAUCUGGAGAAAUUCUACACAGAGUUCAGUGACAGCCAACCCCUGAAUCUCACUGCGGCAAAACAGCACAACUAAGGGAAGAAAAGUGGAAAUAAAGGACAUCUUUUCUUCUAAGCCUAAUAAAGACCAACGUAACUGUUGGUACAGCAACUAAUUCGUGAGGACAAAGCUUUUCUUCACAUGCCAGUCCUUAAAAAAAACAAAGCCUCGUACAGUAAGAGUAGCCAGGUGUUAGCCACUU
Molecule: long non-coding RNA, 715 nt
Filed under: Homo sapiens (human)
Lineage: Eukaryota; Metazoa; Chordata; Mammalia; Primates; Hominidae
Description: HSALNT0001075
Source: RNAcentral